UACGUAGGGGGCAAGCGUUAAUCGGAAUUACUGGGCGUAAAGCGCACGUAGGUGGUUUGUUAAGCUAGCUGUGGAAGCCCCGGGCUCAACCUGGGAAUUGCAGUUAGAACUGGCAGGCUAGAGUACAGUAGAGGGGUGUGGAAUUUCAGGUGUAGCGGUGAAAUGCGUAGAUAUCUGAAGGAACACCAGUGGCGAAGGCGACACCCUGGACUGAUACUGACGCUGAGGUGCGAAAGCGUGGGGAGCAAACAGG
RNAcentral lists this unclassified non-coding RNA (253 nucleotides) under uncultured Cellvibrionales bacterium. RNAcentral's name for it is "contains 16S-23S intergenic spacer region". It matches the Rfam family "Bacterial small subunit ribosomal RNA", at positions 524 to 776 of the family's 1533-position model. The record is from RNAcentral. Lineage: Bacteria; Pseudomonadati; Pseudomonadota; Gammaproteobacteria; Cellvibrionales.